Molecule: ribosomal RNA, 541 nt
Filed under: uncultured bacterium
Lineage: Bacteria
Description: partial 16S ribosomal RNA
Rfam family: Bacterial small subunit ribosomal RNA
Source: RNAcentral
UAGGGAAUCUUCCACAAUGGACGCAAGUCUGAUGGAGCAACGCCGCGUGAGUGAAGAAGGCUUUCGGGUCGUAAAACUCUGUUAUUGAAGAAGAACGUGUGUGACAGUAACUGGUCAUGCAGUGACGGUAUUCAAUCAGAAAGUCACGGCUAACUACGUGCCAGCAGCCGCGGUAAUACGUAGGUGGCAAGCGUUGUCCGGAUUUAUUGGGCGUAAAGCGAGUGCAGGCGGUCUUUUAAAGUCUGAUGUGAAAGCCUUCGGCUUAACCGAAGAAGGGCAUCGGAAACUGGGAGACUUGAGUGCAGAAGAGGAGAGUGGAACUCCAUGUGUAGCAGUGAAAUGCGUAGAUAUAUGGAAGAACACCAGUGGCGAAGGCGGCUCUCUGGUCUGUAACUGACGCUGAGGCUCGAAAGCGUGGGUAGCAAACAGGAUUAGAUACCCUGGUAGUCCGCGCCGUAAACGAUGAAUACUAAGUGUUGGAGGGUUUCCGCCCUUCAGUGCUGCAGCUAACGCAUUAAGUAUUCCGCCUGGGGGUACGACC